AUCUAUCUAUCUAUUAUAAAGUAGUAUUUUGAUCUCUCCUUUUUGCGCCACAUAGGAUUCCACCUAGAAAAGUCGAGCUCUGGAGUUGUGACACCAGCCAAACAAAACACACCGUAUCAUUUAAACAUAAUCAAAUUAAAAUGGGCUUUUUCUUGAAUAUUUAGUGGGCUCUUUCUUAUUUAGUUUUGCAAAAGUCAAAAGGUAAACCCGUUAGAGAGACUAAUAUUUUCUUAGCGCAAGCGAUAUCCAGUUUUAGGGUUCAUCUUCUACUUUGAUCUCUGACGAUCUUCACCCACAAUGGAGUUUCAGGAGGGUUGAGUUAGACGAAUCGUCGUGAACAAUCCCUAUAUUAAACAUCGUUGUUUCGUUUUCGGUUCUUAUCCUCUGAAACGUUGCGAGAUUAUUGAUUAAACGUCAUUAACACCUUUAACACAUCCCCACAAUUCCUCAUAGCUAUAAAUUGGUUUCCGAAGAUUUGGUGUAUCGCUUACUGUAAUGAUAUCAUCUCGCGGUCUUCUCCCUGUGAAACAAGAUUGUUCCAAAUCCUCUUAGUCUGGUUUCCGACGACUCGAUAUCACAGUUUGGUUUCUGACGACUCGGGAUCAUUACUUUGACGGAGCCAGUGUUAGCCAUUGUGGCAGAGAAACGUGUCGUUGCAGUGAUGACAACUAUAGCAGAAGACGACAUCCCAAAUAUCAGUCAUGAGUUUGGAACAAAGGUCAUGGGUUACUGCAAGUACUCCCCUACACAACAGCAUCACGAAUUGAGGGUUAGAAUCCUUCUUUAUGUGUACCUGAGAUAUUAGAAAACAGACUGGUGGGGCGGAAGAGAGGUUGGCAGUCUUUAAUUAUGGGAUGUUCUGUGCAUUACUAGCCAAAUAAAAUCUGUUCUGGAGUUGCGAAGUCAACAACAAUUUUUGAAUAACAGAGGUAGCAGCGGCAAUUGUGGGGAUGAUUGCUUGACUUUUUGACUUUCAUCGAUUGUCAUGCUUAAGGUACAAUUUCUCAGCUGUUUUUCUAAGUUCCAUAGUAAUUUAUAUAUUUUUAAAUCUGAGGCAGAACAUGCUUGUGGACUGUUUGUUUUGUGAGAAAUUUACCUUCAAAGACACAUUUUGAGUUUUCAGACACAUUGAGUUUGGAAGACACUUUCCCAAAUCAUUUUGUCUAAUUUGCCCUUGAACUCGACAUCCAGUGUUUGAGUAAAUAAUAAAUUAUAGAAACAUUUUUUUUUUAUUUUGCAUCCAUAACUUAAAAUUCUCAGAUCCCCUUUCUCUUGACAUAAUUCCAAACACACGUCUCAGAUUCAUCUAUCAUCUUUGACAAUUACAUUUGAACUAGAGUACCGUCGUCCUCUCCAUCACUUUCAGAGACAGUCUGUUUUUCCGAGACCGUUGUGUUCAUCAGAGGUCGGCGUGUUCUUCCUAUGUCUUCUUGCUGGAUCUUCCCAACACCAAAACCCAAUCUCUCUGGCUCUUCUAUCUAACAUCCAAGACCAAACACGAAUCUCGUUGUCUCCUCCAUCUGAUAUCCAUUGUUUGUUGUUUCUGAGGUUAUUAGGGCGUGGCUACAUAUCCGUGGACACACAAGCGCAUGUGGGGGGGGGGGUUUGGUUGUGGAUGCAAUGUUGGGUAAGGACACAGAUGUGUGGAUACGUAUUGUUGGAUACAUGAACUGUGGUUGGGUUAUAUUUUUAGGAUUUGGUGGAUACUUAGUCGUGGAUACGCAAUUUCCAUGUCUAUGUCGUCACUGACCACACCAUCAUUGUCCACGUCUCUCCGUGUCUCUAUAUAAUGUUACAAUUUUUCGAUUUAUAUCCACAAUUAUACAACAUGUACGCACUCCCCUAUCUAUGCUUUCUUAUCUACACUUCCCCAAAUCAUAAACCCCAAUCCACAUAAACCAUAUCCACACAUCCCUUGACCACCUUUGACUUCUCAACGCUUUCCCUGCACUGUUAGAAUCAAAAUCGAGAAAACCAAAAACAAACUCAAAAAAACAUUUGAAAGAUUCACACACUUUCGUAAAUAACUUUAAGUUCGUUGAAGAAGAAGAAAAGAAAGCUAGUAUUACUUAUGUUAAAAAAAAACUCAAAUCUUGAUGAGUCACUAUCAACAAUUUAAGUUUUUGUACUGUCAUUUUUUCAUCCAUUGGAUAUGGUUUAUUAGCAUCUCAUCCAAGGGCUUAAAAUAGACUCACUAACCGAUAAACCUACUUCCUCAAACAAAUAAGUGACUAUUUAGUUUUUUUUUCUUUCAUUCUAAACCAAACAUCCUUGCUUGUUUCUCUAACAAAGGACUUUUUCGUCCACAACUGUGGCAUCCGUACACAAAAAGUGUGUCAAAUACUGAAUGUGUCUUUGCAGGUAAAGAAAAGACAGAAUGUGUCUUUAUGUGUAACUCUCUCUUGUUUUGUGUGUUUACUGGUCUUUCCAUUGAUCAUGGCCGGCUCACAAGGGGGGACAAGUGGUGAGACCGCCCCGGGCCCAAGCCCGUGUCCCCCCGUAUAAU
This is a long non-coding RNA of Brassica napus (rape), 2506 nucleotides long. RefSeq lists it as uncharacterized. The record is from RefSeq and is a predicted model, not a curated record. The transcript has 5 exons. Lineage: Eukaryota; Viridiplantae; Streptophyta; Magnoliopsida; Brassicales; Brassicaceae.